Molecule: small nucleolar RNA, 206 nt
Organism: Jaculus jaculus (lesser Egyptian jerboa)
Lineage: Eukaryota; Metazoa; Chordata; Mammalia; Rodentia; Dipodidae
Gene: U3
Rfam family: Small nucleolar RNA U3
About the family: Small nucleolar RNAs (snoRNAs) are involved in the processing and modification of rRNA in the nucleolus.
Source: Ensembl
AAGACUACACUUUCAGGGAUCAUUUCUAUAGUUCCUUACUAGAGAGGUUUCUCUGAUGUGGAGAGCACCCGAAACGACGAGGAGGAGGCACCGUGUUUUCUCCUGAGCGUGAAGCUGGGACUGUUUUGUGCAACUGCCCAUCGCCAUUGAUGAUCAUUCUUCUCUCCCCUGGGAGAGUUAGAGGGCGAGAAUGCAGUCUGAGUGGU